RNAcentral lists this non-coding RNA (24 nucleotides) under Cricetulus griseus (Chinese hamster). Lineage: Eukaryota; Metazoa; Chordata; Mammalia; Rodentia; Cricetidae. The record is from RNAcentral.
CCCGGCCAAUGCAAAGAGAACUUU